RNAcentral lists this ribosomal RNA (253 nucleotides) under uncultured bacterium. RNAcentral's name for it is "partial 16S ribosomal RNA". It matches the Rfam family "Bacterial small subunit ribosomal RNA", at positions 524 to 776 of the family's 1533-position model. The record is from RNAcentral.
UACGAAGGGGGCUAGCGUUGUUCGGAAUCACUGGGCGUAAAGCGAGUGUAGGCGGUUCGCUAAGUCGGGUGUGAAAGCCCUGGGCUCAACCCAGGAAGUGCACUCGAAACUGGCAGGCUAGAGUACUGGAGAGGUUGGUGGAAUUCUCGGUGUAGAGGUGAAAUUCGUAGAUAUCGAGAGGAACACCGGUGGCGAAGGCGGCCAACUGGACAGAUACUGACGCUGAGACUCGAAAGCGUGGGGAGCAAACAGG